This 734-nucleotide ribosomal RNA is filed under the name uncultured bacterium. RNAcentral's name for it is "bacterial SSU rRNA". It matches the Rfam family "Bacterial small subunit ribosomal RNA", at positions 56 to 773 of the family's 1533-position model. The record is from RNAcentral.
UGCAAGUCGAACGGUAACGCGGAGAGAAGCUUGCUUCUCUCCGGCGACGAGCGGCGAACGGGUGAGUAAUACAUCGGAACGUGUCCGCUCGUGGGGGACAACCAGCCGAAAGGUUGGCUAAUACCGCAUGAGUUCUACGGAAGAAAGAGGGGGACCCGCAAGGGCCUCUCGCGAGCGGAGCGGCCGAUGACUGAUUAGCCGGUUGGUGAGGUAACGGCUCACCAAAGCAACGAUCAGUAGCUGGUCUGAGAGGACGACCAGCCACACUGGGACUGAGACACGGCCCAGACUCCUACGGGAGGCAGCAGUGGGGAAUUUUGGACAAUGGGCGCAAGCCUGAUCCAGCUAUUCCGCGUGUGGGAUGAAGGCCCUCGGGUUGUAAACCACUUUUGUAGAGAACGAAAAGACACCUUCGAAUAAAGGGUGUUGCUGACGGUACUCUAAGAAUAAGCACCGGCUAACUACGUGCCAGCAGCCGCGGUAAUACGUAGGGUGCGAGCGUUAAUCGGAAUUACUGGGCGUAAAGAGUGCGCAGGCGGUUGAGUAAGACAGAUGUGAAAUCCCCGAGCUUAACUCGGGAAUGGCAUAUGUGACUGCUCGACUAGAGUGUGUCAGAGGGAGGUGGAAUUCCACGUGUAGCAGUGAAAUGCGUAGAUAUGUGGAAGAACACCGAUGGCGAAGGCAGCCUCCUGGGACAUAACUGACGCUCAGGCACGAAAGCGUGGGGAGCAAAC